AAAGGGGGAGGGUUCCUUUUCAAGAAAGUGGGGGCGGAAGAAGCCUUUUUCCAGCCACUAUGCGCAUGCUUCCGGCGGAUUGUCUUGUUGAGGUGCAUUGUCAAACCCUGGGCGCGAGGCGGAUUGUGAAAGAGGACUACAGUUCCCAGCAUGCAGAGCGAGAGCUGCCGGGAUUGGGGCCGCCGCAAGACAAACCUGGGAAGAGGGUAAGCCUGUUUCUGAAAGACGGUGGACAAGCUGUUGCCUCUAGCUAGGUGUCAUCAAAAUUGAUUGGCAAUUACUCAUCAGUGGCUAUUCUUUGGCAACGGAAGGGGGCAAGAACAGAUCAAGCUACGCUUAACCAGCAACAAUAUGGAACCUCUUUCACCACGAAACUUUUUGUCAGAAGGAAGGAACUUUACCCAAGGGUAAGCCUCAGGAAAAUGUAUUUCAAAAAGUGACUGGACUAUAAAAGUGAGGAGCAAAUACAUCUCAGGUAUUCCCUCUUUCUUUUUCUCCCUCUCUUUCUCUCUCAUGCUCUCUCUCAUCUAAGGAGACAAAAGAACCAGCCUUUUGACUUUGGGAGGGGUUCUGGCCUGAAAAUUUGGUCAGCCUUGUUGCUGGCAACAUGUGUUAAGUAUUUUACCUUGAACCUAGUCUAGUUUGUUAAGGUUUAAGUUACUAGAAAGUGUUUUAUCUUUAUUUUCUUUUGUAGCCAUUUCUGACUUUGAUGCCUUAUACUUGUAUUCACAUAAAGUCUGUCUAUUGAUAGUUAA
Molecule: long non-coding RNA, 755 nt
Organism: Chelonia mydas (Green sea turtle)
Lineage: Eukaryota; Metazoa; Chordata; Testudines; Cheloniidae
Exons: 2
Source: RefSeq, a predicted model, not a curated record